UAUGCUGCAGUUUUGUGAAACAGAUGUGCACAGCCCAGCCAGCCCAGCAGCAGUAAAGAAGCUGAUUAGAACUGGGAGCUCUCUAAUACUUUGCUUCAAGAGACUGUUACUGUAAACCUCCCAGAGAGCUUCGGCUGUUGAUGGACUUUUUGAUGAACUUUGCCUGGUUAAAAAGUUUGUGCCUGAGGUCAGAACAUCUGAUCUUCCUCUGGAUGAGAAAUGGGUGCAGUUGCUAAAGAGCAUCAGAUCAAGAAUUCUGGUGAAGGUUGUCAGUGCAGUGUUUGCCAUCCCAGUGUGAUGCCUUAUACAGAGGAACAACCCAGUGACGAAACCGACUCUGUUAUCCCCAAACCCCGGGGUAAUCGAGCUCAACACAUGAGCCACAUCUUCCUUGCCAUGUGUGUCUUCUUCCUGUACCUCACUGAACCAAGUCUAGACCAUGUCCUCCAAUGCAUUGUCAUCCAUUUCACAGCCCUGCAGGUUGGAGCACUGUGCAAGGGGAUCUGCAACUUUGCAGAAGAAUUCCAUCAUGUGACAUCCAGGUAUCAUGGGAACUACUUAAGGGCCCUGAGUGCCUGCCUAGAAUUAAACAGGCCUGCUUUGCUCUUUCUGGGCCUGUGUGGAGUAGCCUACUUGUUGCUCCCUGGAGAAGAAACUGGGCUUCGACUGUGUUGGAACUUGAUCCCUAUGUGCCUCUGCCAGCUUUUAAGCAUCAUCUUUGGCCUUCAGCGUCCCUCAGCCGCAGAGAUUUCUGAAAUGUAUGAAAAAAACAACUGCAAUGUAGCACAAGGACUUGCCUGGUCGUACUACACUGGGUAUUUAAAAAUCAUUUUGCCUUGCCUCAAAGAUUCAAUUAGAGAUUUCAACAGAGCUAAUAACUGUCAGCUGAAUUGUGAGAAGACCUGGAAAUUACACAUAUUGAUUCCUCUAAGCUGUGAUGUAUCUGAUGACCUGCAGAAGGUUGACAGUCAUCUUCACUUCAUAAAGAAUCUCCCCAAACUGAAUGUGGAUCGAGCUGGCAUUAAAAGAAGAAGCUACAAAAAUAGCGUCUAUCGGAUAAUAGGUGAAAACCAAGAGAUUAAUUAUUGUGUUGUGGAGUAUGCCACCCCUCUGCAGUCCCUUUAUGCCAUGUCCCAAGAUGAAAACGCUGCCUUUAGCCGUCAAGACCGUUUGGAACAAGCCAAACUUUUUUGCAGGGCACUGGAAGAAAUCUUACAGAGAUGUAAAGAUUGUUCUGGUUGCUACCGGCUCAUUGUGUAUGAUGAUUCAGAAGCAAAUGACAAGCACUUUCUGUCCAAGGCCAUCCUACAACACAUAAAGCAGCAGCACCAGGAGGAGUAUACCGUGGAUGAAAGGGAUCGAGACCACACCGGCUCACAGAACUUGGAAUCUACUGAAGUCGAUCUCCUGAUAAGCGGCUCAGAUCAACCCAUGUCUUUGCAUAGUGAUGGCUACUGAAAUAGACUGGCCACCUUACCUGUUCAUCUUCAUGUCCCUGCUCCUGGAAAUCACCAGGACUGCUUCCAGAGAAUAAAACCUAACAGUACCAAAUCUUAACCUGUGAAGCCAGACCCCAGCAAGACCUAAAAACCCUUCUACAGAAUAUGAAAGUGUCAGCAGAAAUGGAGGCAGAGGCAGCAUCAGUACCUUAUGGGUACGGAGACAUGAUGGGAUAAGACAAACCCAUGCAAGACAGCAAUCUGAGAAUAUACGAUUGUAAUGGAAACCCACCAUUAUCUCCUUAUUGGUUCUGCAAGAGAAACACAGGACAGAAACCUUCCUUUUUGCUCUUGCCACAAGCUGACUCUCUCAGCCACUUUGUAUGGGUAGUGUGAUGGCUCUGGAGGGCUUUUUCUUUUUGGUAGACCCUUUUUUAUACAAGAAGAGUUCUCCCCCCUAAAAAAACCCCACAGUCACAAUGGGCUGCCACCAGACAGGACAAACCUUCUGCCUGCCCCUGAUCUGUUCAGGUGCUUGAGGAGUUUCCACACUCUAUUGACCAGGACCCCUCCCUUCAGCCUUCCCUAGGGUGGGAAAUAAACCAGGAGAAGAGCUUUGGGUUUACUUUCCCAAAGCCUAGGAGACACAGAACAACAAAACCUUGUGAAAUAUCCUAAUCCCCAAAGGGGACAAUAUUAACAAUCGAGCAGUCAACACAUGGGGAAGGUUUUAUGAGGAAUUACUUUUUAAACUAAUUAAGUCAACUGUCUAAAUAUAAAAUGAAGCUUAUUUGGAGAAACAAGUGAAAUAAGGGAAAGGGAAGACAACACACAUAGAGGCUUCCAAAUAAAAUUAAUAAAUUCAGUUUAACUUAGCCAGCUACAUAUUACUUGCUUGAGCAGAUCCUUGGUUUUCAGAGCCUGUGCAAAGUUCAUUGCAAAAGAGGCUCUGAGAAAAAGCAUCUCUGGACUCAUCAGAUAUUUCCAAGAAGACAAAGACUGAAAAUCUUACAUAUUUAUGGAAGACUGAGACCCCUAAAAUUUCUUAAUGGAGAUGAGUUGUUGUUGGCCCAGUGAAGACAGAUGCUUCACCUAUGGCAUCAGUGGUCUAUGUACUCAAUCAGAAAUUUAUUUAGAGGCUAGCUCUACCUCAAAAAGAUUCUGAACCUUACAUUACAUAAGGUCUGGCCAGUUCUAAGAACUCUGAGGGCAGAAUGUUCAUUUGAACCUCCCCCCACCUCACUGUUCCAUGUGUCAAUGUCGUUCCACCCCCAGCUACAAAAAAUACUCCAGAAAUAUGCAUAUAAUCCUUAAAAAACUAUAUUUUACAUUAGAAGCAGAAUGUUAAGAUUUUAUGUCUAAAAUACAAAUACAAAAACAAUAUUGAAUUCACUUGGAAGGAAUAGGAUCCUCUUAUCGUUUUUACCAACAAAUAUAAACAUCAAUAAAGUUAAAGAAGAUUUUUAUGCACAAUGACAAACUACGUUCAAAUUUUUGUAGACGUUUCAUUGUUGUAAAAGUUGUAUCUUCUUUUUUCUACUCUUCUUGACACAAAUUCAGAUAUGAGAUCAUCGGAAGACAUUUCUCGUAGAAGAUUGCAUUCUAUAUAGUCUGCAUUCAGGGGUGAAGAACCACUUUUGUCUAGCGGGCCAGAUCCAAAAGUGGCCACUCUUCUGCAGGCCACUUUUGACAGGUGAGUGGGUUCACCCACCUGUCAAUCACUUGAAGCCUUAUGAAUUUAAACAGCACUGAAUGCAAGCUCUGCAUUGCUCCUGAUUGUCCUUUGGCAGCCACAGCUGUUCCAGACAAGCUUUACAUGUCAUGUCCUACAUGACAUCAGGUGAGUGACUGGUGAGUGUGAAUGGCAGAAAAUAGCCACAUGGGUCAAAUUGGCUGGCCUAAUAUGGUUCACGUGCCUGAGGUUCCUCACCCCUGCUGAAAAGAGAACAGGUAGUGAUUAUAGUCUUGACUACAGUAUUGGUGACUAUAAUUAAUUUUUAAUACAAAAUAAUUUGGAGAAUUCUCUUUCUGCUUCAGAAUUUGAAAAUGGCAGAGUGAGAUGAAGUUAAAAAGCUAUGGUAACAUCUGGAAAAGCUGCUUUCAGGUCCUAACUGUAAAUUAUCUUCAAACUACUAUGUUCAGUUGUCUCAGACUGCUCCCUCUGCAGUAUCUAAGAAGCAAAUGAAAUACUUUAGCUCAGUGGACAGAGAAAUUUGAAUAACUCUUGGUUAAGCUCUCUUACUAAUGCUUCUGAGUCUGUUUCCGGUAUAUCAUGAUUAUGGGAAGAAUGGUCUAGUUAUGCCAGGAAUCCAGAUAAAUUCACAACUUCUGUGGAAGCACAGGAGCAUGUCUCCAGUUCUAUCUGAAGUUUAUCUAAUAUACUAUAGUAUGUUUCCACUCUGAAUUUGUCUUUUUCCAUCUGGGAAAGUUUAUUUGUGUCCUCAUGCUGUUGAUCUUUCAACUGAAUAUGACUAAUUUCUUUCCCUAUUCUCCAGUUUCUUCAGUAUUAUGGACAAAGAUGAUGAGAAAAGAAAACAACAUUUCCCCUGCCAUAAUAUCAAGGCCUGUUUUUGUAGGGUAUAAUCAAAUCUAUGUAGGACUUCAUGCUUGAAAGCUGCCAUAGAAGAUAUUUUAAAUAUUUUCAGGUUUACCGGCCAAUCAGAAUCUGGCAACGGGUGGGGUUGUCUUUGUGAGAGAAUGUCUGUGUAUGUGUGUAAGAGAAAACAUUUGGGUGUAGCGUAACAGAGGCUGGAUCCACGCUAGGGAUGGGAGAGAGAUUUGAUUCAGUUCUAUUUAAAGCUGAAUCGAUCCAAUUUGUACUUUUUGAAAUAACAUGAGAACUGAAACACAGCCAUCCUUUGAAAUUCACACUUAUCUAAAUUUU
Rhineura floridana is the source of this 4323-nucleotide RNA transcript. It is a transcript of the gene named stimulator of interferon response cGAMP interactor 1, with no coding region annotated. The transcript has 9 exons. NCBI's taxonomy places the organism in Eukaryota, Metazoa, Chordata, Lepidosauria, Squamata, Rhineuridae. The record is from RefSeq and is a predicted model, not a curated record.